GAUUAAUUCGUCAAUCGGGGUAAAAUAAUUUGUUUUGCGAUAUAACUGUGAAAUGACAAACUCAUGGUAGUAACAUAACAAAUUGAUCGAGCACUAUUACAAAGUUUCAACUGGUGUUGACAAAAACAAACUUGCGCAUGACUGAUUUAUUUGCGUGACGACUCUUCACAACCGUAUUUGACAAAUCCUCUUCGCGGUCAAUGUAGAAAUGACGAGUUUAAGUCGGCCAUAACGAAUUAUAUUACAAAUUAUUUGCUGAAAAACAAAUCAAUUUGUUGAGGCAAAAUGCAUGACAAAUUUAGCUCCUGAAGACAGUUCGGGACACCCCGCACAUAAUCAGCGUCUUCGAAUCACUCGCCGGUCGCCGUGAUUUUGCUGCGAAGCAAGGCUUGGGUAGAUCGUAAAAGUUUCUUGCAGAGUUUCGCAGGAUUCAUGGUGAGGACCUAAUCACACUGUUCAACCAAGGACUACAAAGACUGGCAGAACCCCUUUCUGGACUUCACAAAGAUAGAUGCAAAUGAGCCAAGAAAGAUGUGACAGUUUACUUCCCGGAAGCUAAGAAGAAAUUGCCAUACAGAUUCUACCAACCUUUUUCAAGGAAGACCUGGUGAUAUAUUCAUCUCAAGUGACAAGGUUGAUACGAAGCCCAUGUACAUACAUGUAUCCUGCAAUCAAGAGGAAUCAUAUGAGCUUGUUCUGGAGGAGCAAAGAGUCUGUCAAGUCCAGGAUAAAGUGCAUGCAUUGGCUUGUUAAGUAGCUGGUUUUUAUUUUUCAUUCAGCCUAUGGCUGUGAGCCAUCAGUCAUGAAAAUUCGUGAGUUUUGCCAACUUGGAAUUCUUCAGGUGAAAGAUGCAUGUCCUGUUGAUAAAUCUGUUAUCAACCUUCUGAACAUGUUGAAGAAGAAAGUGCCCUCCAAACAAGGGAAGUAACU
This is a long non-coding RNA of Lytechinus variegatus (green sea urchin), 930 nucleotides long. RefSeq lists it as uncharacterized. The record is from RefSeq and is a predicted model, not a curated record. The transcript has 4 exons. NCBI's taxonomy places the organism in Eukaryota, Metazoa, Echinodermata, Echinoidea, Temnopleuroida, Toxopneustidae.